Felis catus (domestic cat) is the source of this 525-nucleotide long non-coding RNA. RefSeq lists it as uncharacterized. The transcript has 4 exons. Lineage: Eukaryota; Metazoa; Chordata; Mammalia; Carnivora; Felidae. The record is from RefSeq and is a predicted model, not a curated record.
AAAAGCGAAACCAAGGUAUUUCCUUCUCUUUCUAUUUUGGUAUCAUCUCUGCCAGCUGGUAUUCUCCGUGGCUCUAGUUCUUCCGAGACAGCUGGGAUACAAGGUUCUAGCUUCAGCUUAGUGCCCCCCGCUCCUGAGCUCCUGCUUUUGAACCCUGAACUUAGAAAUAGUGGUAACUUCCUAAGGCAGUUAACAUUUAUCCAGUCUCCAAACUAGCUCUAGCCACUCUGUCAUUGCCCUGGCUAUCCCUUUCCCUGGGCUCAAAUUUCAGCAGAUGCGCACAUCUACGACAUUACGAAAGCAUCUACACCAGUUUCCCUCAAAAUUCUUGAGCAUCCUGAGGCAAAGGAAACAAAAGUAAAAGUGAACUAUUGGGACCUCAUCAAGAUAAAAAGCUUCUGCACAGCGAAGUUAACAGUCAACAAAAAUAAAGGCAACCGAUAGAAUGGGAGAAUAUAUUUACAACUGACAUAUCAGAUAAAGAGUUAAUAUCCAAAGGGCGCCUUGGUGGCUCAGUCGGUUAAG